This 65-nucleotide transfer RNA is filed under the name Rhizobium viscosum. RNAcentral's name for it is "tRNA-Thr". It matches the Rfam family "tRNA", at positions 5 to 66 of the family's 71-position model. Rfam says of the family: Transfer RNA (tRNA) molecules are approximately 80 nucleotides in length. Their secondary structure includes four short double-helical elements and three loops (D, anti-codon, and T loops). Further hydrogen bonds mediate the characteristic L-shaped molecular structure. tRNAs have two regions of fundamental functional importance: the anti-codon, which is responsible for specific mRNA codon recognition, and the 3' end, to which the tRNAs corresponding amino acid is attached (by aminoacyl-tRNA synthetases). tRNAs cope with the degeneracy of the genetic code in two manners: having more than one tRNA (with a specific anti-codon) for a particular amino acid; and 'wobble' base-pairing, i.e. permitting non-standard base-pairing at the 3rd anti-codon position. Lineage: Bacteria; Pseudomonadati; Pseudomonadota; Alphaproteobacteria; Hyphomicrobiales; Rhizobiaceae. The record is from RNAcentral.
GGAUGGCUCAGUGGGUAGAGCGUCAGACUUGUAAUCUGAAUGUCGAAGGUUCGAAUCCUUCUCCA